Molecule: long non-coding RNA, 13089 nt
Filed under: Coffea arabica (coffee)
Lineage: Eukaryota; Viridiplantae; Streptophyta; Magnoliopsida; Gentianales; Rubiaceae
Description: long non-coding RNA (CARA_LNC007442)
Source: RNAcentral
AAACCAAAGAAAAAGGUUCGGGAGUCACAUUUGACAAAGGGGAAGGCAAGGAUAAAAUCCAAGGCACCCCUUUGACCUAGCCAAGGCUAGUUGCAUGAUUUAAUCAAAGAUUUUCUUGUUUUAACCAAAGAAUUUAUUACAUUUGGAUGCACUAUAUGAAUGCAAACCCUAGACCUAGGGGUAUUGGGGAAAAUUUCUCUUCAAAGGUUGAGUGGUACCAAUCACAUUAAUUGUGAAUCCCAAUAACUAUCCUUUGAAGAAGUCACGAAUAAUGCGAGUGGGAUGCAAAUGAAUGGAAUGCAUGUAUGCAAUGUGAGGACAUGAGUUUGAAAAAGUAAUAAAAGGCAAUAAUAUAUAAGUGAAAAUGUGCACAUGAGUGGGCAAGGUGCGGUGUGUGAAAUGAUAAUAUGAAGUACAUGUGUGCAAGUGAUGAUAAAAGUGUUCGUGUGCAAGUGAAGCAACAUAAAGGUGCACGUGUGCAAAAUGAGGAGGAAAAAAAUGAAAGUGUGAUGGGGGUAUAAAAUGAUAGAGUGGAUUUAAAAAUGCAUGAGCUUAGGGAAUUCAUGCAUAUUGGGUACGGGGAGACCUAAAUCGUGACUCAAUUUGCCAUUUUAUGGAGGGAAUACAAGCGUGCUAAGGCUUAGGAAAAAGCCACACUCGUCUAUAUCCCAUAUUUAAGGGGACUCUCAAGCAAAUGAACCCUAUAACUAGCAUGAGAUGCAAAAGCCCUAAAAUGAAGGGAAAAGGGUUUCGAGGAGUAUGCCAAAUGAUAAACUAAGAAAAAUGCAUGACAUGUAAUGAACACGCAAAUAUGUACUAACGAGGGGAAAUCCCUAAGGGUCUAGUGUUGGACUAGCCCAUUCUAUGAAUUCCUACUAGCGUUGGACUAGCGGAAACGUACAUUCAUCCAUCACAUUCAUUCAUGGCUAUGGAAAGCGAGUAGACAUGCCAAACACUCAUAAAACAUAGCACAUAACAUUUAGCAUGCUCGACUAGAUGCAAGGCCCUAACAAAGCAAAUUAACACAAAGCAACUAAGCAUGCAAGACACAUAAGACAAUUAAAACCCUAACUAUUACAUUUGCUAGUUAGGCACAUGACUUCGACAGGUCUUCAUUGAAUGCUCCUCCAAACCCUAUCUAUUACAUUAGGGAGACCCUACUACAAUCUAAAAGGGGGAAAAGGAAUAAAAUAAUUAAAUCCCUAACUAUUACAAGCCAAGAGGUGUACACAUACCCCAUAAAGAAUAACUUAAACAAAAAAAUAAAAGUAAAUGACAUAAAUAAAAGAAAUUAAAGGAAGGCUAGGAAAGCAAAGUAGACAUGCAUUUCUCACGUAGCACGUUGGUUCACAUAGGAGAGACAAAAAAAGAUAAAAGAAGUUAUACCUCCCUUGAGUUGGAGCUCUAACGUAGUGAAGUUACUAAUGUACCCUCCAAAAUAAUAAAAGGGUCAAGGUACCACAAAUAGUAAAGUAUGACAAAGUCACCAAAGAAAAGGGUGGCUUGGGCUAAGACUAUCAAAACAAAAAGGUAAUAAGACAAAUCGGAAUCCAUCAAACAUUGAAUGUUUCCUCACUUUGCAACUUAGAAAUGACCAAAUAAUGUAUGAAUUCCAAACAAAGGUGGAACAUUGAUCAAAUUUCUAAAAUAGCAAAACGACUAAAGACCCAAUAGCAAUCUUUGAUCAACCAAUCAAGGUUACUUGAAAACAUUUUUAGGAACUUUACAGGUCCAAUGAGCAAGAAAUGGUCAAGUAACCAAUUUAUUUCAGAAAAUUCAAGAAAAUAGGCAACCACAUACUCAUUUAGAUGCCAAGUUUCACAAUCCAUGUAUUAAGCAUCACCUUAGCAAAACAUGAUAACCAAUGAAGGCAAGCAAGCAAUUGAAUUGAAACAUUAGUGCUGCCAAAGACUCAAUUGUGAACACUAACCAAGCAUUCAAGCUUAAUCAAACACUUUUAAGAACUUCAAAAGGUCUGAAGGCAAAGAAAAGGUGGAGGAAUGGUUCCAUUGCAAUCAUCCUAGGAUCUUAUUGCAAGAAACUAGAACAUGCUUGGGCUUUUGUGGAACGUGGAGAAACUUGAAGGGUUAAAUUGAUUAAGUUAUCCAAUUAGUUGGGCCAUAGUAACAUUAAACAUAAAUUAAGGGCUUAGAAUGCAAUUUUUUGAAAGCAUUUUCAUGCAAAAACAUGCAGACAACGUAGAAGCUAAUUUCUGCAGUUGAAAACAUCUACAAACAACAUGAAUGUGCGCUGCAUUUUCAUUUUUCAACCAUAGAUUUCAGAAAAACCAAAACAGACCUCAACCAAACUCUCUCAAACUAAUGUAUAAACUUUGAGUUAAACAAACAACACACAACUUCAACAUCCAAACAAGUAAACUUAAAUAGAAACUGAUGCAAAAUCACGAAGGAAACAUGCAUUUCUGCAAUCUUUCGGCCAAACCAACUAGCUGCAAUUUAUUUUCACUUACGGAUUUCAACCUCAAAACACCAUUUUGAGUAAAACCUUUGCAACCCAACAUCAAACUUUAGUCCAAACAAAACUUAUUUAACAUCUAAACAUGCGAAAGGAAACUCAGGGCAUGAUCAUGAAGUUGUGGUAGUCUUCUCCUUGCUGAUUUUUCAACUACACCAUGCGGCAUUCACAAACCAGAAUAGAUCACCAACAAGCAUCAUCUUUUGAUUUAAACAACCACAAGAUACCAACCCCAAUCACCAACCAAACAAGAAAUUACAUUUUAUUGCAGGAUUGGUGGCUGCCAAAAAUAAAAGAAAUAACAACUAAAGAGAGAAACGAAGCGCUGCAAUUUUCCAGCUACCAUUAGCUACGCUUGCGGGGGAAUUCAUCAGAUGUAAGCACGGCCAGCUUUCCAACCAAACAACAAAGGCAUGAUAUUGAGCAAUCAAAAUCACAGAAAUUGAACAUUCAAGCAAGCAAAUCUUCUGUAAAAAAAAUUCUGUAACCUUCCGGGUUUAGUUCAAAAAAAGAAAGAAAGGUUUCCUGCUGCAAUUUUGUUGCUUAGCCACCUCGCGUGGCAGAUUUUCACAAACCUCAACCCACAAUCCUAACUUUAAGUUCUUAUCAAGCUUGUCAUGCAUGUGGUAUAUGAACUGAACAACAAAUCUCAUAUUUCAAUCACACCAAAAGUUCCAGCAAACAAACAGAGCACGACUUCGACAUCCGGACGGGCUAAGAUGCCGCGCUUCAAACAUACAGACUAUGUAAACGUCUUUCCCUUUCAAAGUUGGGGUCUUGCUACUAAGCUACAGCUUGGGAACAAAAUAAACAACACCCAAACAGAUCUGAAAACCUAACAAAGUUUCUCAUGUAAUUAUAUCAACAAAAGACCGCAGCUUGGUAAAGAAAUAGUUGCUGAAACCAGAUUUUUCCAUACUUGCUGACUCAAAGCCAAGAAAAUAAUCAGAAACAUCAAGUAAAUCCCUAACUCUCAUAGGCAAGGACUUGUUAACAGAGAUUAUCUAUAGGACUAAGCUAAAAGAAACCUUACAAUGCUAUUUCGGUAGAGUUCACGAUGGCAAAAGACUUGAAUAUGGUCUGAAAACACCAAGCUUCCGUAGCUUCCUCCUUGUUCUACGUUUUUUUUCCUUCUCUAGCCGUCAAAGCUCUCGGCUCUCUCUUUUAGUUUUUCCAAAUUUCUUGCUUUCUCCCGUAAACUCUAGCCGCCACCCCCUUGUUUUUACUCUCAGCACUCGCUAGUUUUUCUGGUUUUCUUGUUUCUGAUUUUCCUUCCAGUUUGCAGCCGUCUCCUCUCUUCUUUUCUCUAUCGGACUUUGGUUCAGAUUUUUCCUCCUUCUCCAGCCGUCAACUCCUCAGAUGAAGCCCUUCUUUUGCUUUCCCUUGCUUCAUUUCUCUCACCAAAUCCUCACGGCUCAAACCCUUUCCUUCUUCCUUUUCUUUUUCUUUCGCUGCUAGUUCUCAAUCCUCUUUCUCGGCCCCCUGUUCUAUUUUUCUUCUAAGCCGUCUGCUCUUUUUCUCUUCCACACCAGUUGCGGCUGUCCACUCUCUCCUUUCUCUAUGCCAUCUGUUUUUUUUUUCUCCCUUGCCGGCUGCCUUCUCUUUUCUAUUUAUAUGGGGGCACCACCAACCCUAAACCCUCAAACAAUCUCCCCAUAUUUGCAGCAAAAGGGGCAGCCCAGCCCUUUGUUUGCAAACUGCGGCAAUACGCAGCUUGCAUGCCGCGUUUCCUUUUUUUUUUUUUAAGAUUAAUUAAAUAACAAUAAAAACAAUAAUAAUUCAAACAAAGUUAAAUUUAAAUAAAAUGUACAAAAUUAGCAACCGAAAGAUAAAAAAAAAUAAAUAAAUAAAAAUAAAUAAUAAAAAAAACUAAGAUUUUCCUCUUUUUCUUCUUUUUCCAUUUUCAUUCAUUUUUCCCUUUUUUCUCUUUUUUUUUCUAAGAAAUUCUAUGCUAAAAACUUAAAAAUAAAGUAAAACUAGAAACUAAAAACUAAAAAUAGAAUAAAACUAACACGACAAACAAAUAAACUAAAAAUAAAAAGUAAAUGAAAUUACACCAAAAAUUUGGUGUCUACAGUUUGCCCCUCUUUGUCUGAGUUUUGAAAAAACUUGAGACAAAGAAGUAGACACCAAAUAUUUACCUGCAUUAUUCGGCUGCAAAAUGAUUCCAACGAACAAGAAUUCUAAAAUGGGACUGACCCAAACAUGAAAUUAAAACGGGACUGACCCGAACAGGAAAUUUAAAACGGGACUGACCCGAACAGAAAUUUACAACGGGACUGACCCGAACAGGAAUUUAAAAACAGAUGAAUUGAAGUGAAAUGGAGUGUUGGUGGGAUUGACCCAUGUUUAUUGGUGAUACAAAUGAAAGAAGUGAAAUGAAGUGUUAACGGGACUGACCCAUGUUUGUUAAUAAUGCAAAUGAAAUGCUCGCUAGUGGGACUGACCCACGGCUAGUGGCGAACGAAAAGAAAUGUUCACUAGUGGGACUAACCCACGGCUAGUGGCGAAGAAAAUGCUCACGGGCGGGACAAACCCAGCUCCAAUAGCAAUGAGAAUGAGAUGCUUACUGACGGGACAAACCCAGCUCCAAUAGCAAUAAAAUGCUUUUGACAAUCGGACAGUGGGAUCAAACCCGAGCCAGCCGAGGUCGGAGGGAUAAAACCCGUGCCCAACGAAAGUAAAAGCGGUCAGUGGGAUAAAACCCGAGCCUGCCGAGGUCGGAGGGAUAAAACCCAUGCCCAACGAAAAUAAAGCGGUCAGUGGGAUAAAACCCGAGCCUGCCGAGGUCGGAGGGAUAAAACCCAUGCCCAACGAAAGUAAAAGCGGUCAGUGGGAUAAAACCCGAGUCUGCUGAGGUCGGAGGGAUAAAACCCGUGCCCAACGAAAGUAAAAGCGGUCAGUGGGAUAAAACCAGAGCCUGCCGAGGUCGGAGGGAUAAAACCCAUGCCCAACGAAAAUAAAAGCGGUCAGUGGGAUAAAACCCGAGCCUGCCGAGAUGAACUUGAUUUGAUUUUUGACUUUUUUGAUGAUGAUUUUUUAUUUUUGAUUUGAUUUUGAUUUUGAUUUUUUUUUUGACUUUUUGAGAAUCUUUCCAAAAAAUUAAUUUGCCCCAGUUGGAUGAAUUUUUGCAAUUUGAGUCCAUAGUUGAUUCGGUAUCGCCAUGUUGCUGCACCUUUUGAUCAAAUUUGAUUGCAACAUUUUCAAAUCUGCCUUUAUUCCCCGGAGGCCUCUUUCCAACACCAAUUCCAGUGCGAGGUGUGAUUACUUUCUCCUGUGCAUGCAAUUUUUCUUGUGAAAGAGAAAAAAAAAACAAAGAAAUUGCCACCACCAUUUGAUCCGUUUUCCUUCAAGAAUCGUGUAACAUGAGUCUUUCAAUGCCUUUAUCAACUUUUGCCGCGGCAGCCGAUUGAGUUGGAUUUCUCACCCUGAGGCUUUUCCGAUUUUCAAACUGACCAGGUAUGUGCUUUGCCAUAUUUGUGAAGUCUGUGUAGCUGGCUUGGCUGAAUUUCAACUGUUCCCAAAAGAUGACUGAAUCCAAGCAUACUUUUUGCAAUAAACCACGGGGAUUGUCAUUCACCACAAUUCAAUAAAGAAUGAGGUAUGCAAGAAAUAUUCAUAUGUCAUGUAAAAAUGAAUAUGCACAAGAAUGCACACCUAACCAUUUGUGCUUAAAUUCUACAAAAAUGUCAUGAAUGCAAGUAAUUUGGAAAAAAUGAGUAGUUUCCUAAGAAUGUAUUUGCAAAAGAAUGUUUUACAAAAUGACACAGUUUUGGCCAACGGAUGUCAUAUUCGAAUCUCUGGGUAUCCUUGUUCUGGGAUUCAGUAUUGGCAGAAGUAUGACAAAAAUGAAGAGAAAUCCAUAUGAACCAGGUCGCCAGCCGUUCCUCAUCGUGCUCGCUUACUGCAAAAAACUUACCUUGGCGCCCUUUCGGGUUUUUACCAAAGUUGCCCCCACCCUUUUUGUUUUUGUUUUGUUUUUCCUUCUUUCUUUUUCUUCUUUCUUUUGAGGUGCCCUUUUGGGUUUUUACCUAAGGAAGCAGUGGAAGAGCUCAACCAUAAUCGCCUCAGAAAUGUAAGUUGAAAAAAUGCUGACAUCAGUAAAAUGCGCUUCCCUUAUAGACUUAAGCGAAGGCACCAUGAACAUCACUUGUCAGUUGAUUAGCAAACUUUCCAAUAGAAAUAUAACAAGUGACGAAAGCCAGGACUAUUGGGCUUUUGUAAGGAGGUCAGGUGGGGGUGUUUUCAAGGAAAGUUGAGACUUGAAAGCAGAUUUUAAUGAGAGGUGUAAAAUAACCUGAGAUUGCAUCAUUUUGAAAUUAUCUCCAAUUUUGAACGAAACCGAGGAAAUUUGCCCCAGUUUGAUUGAAUUUCUUUGCAUUUUCAUUGCAUGUUUCUCACUUUUGCAUUUUCCUUCAAAACUAAAUUUGCCCCAGUGUGGGGUUCCUUUUUCCAUUUUUAUUUUUCUUUUUUCUUUUUUUUUUCUUUUUUUUUUCAAAAAUAAAUUUGCCCCAGUGUGGGGUUUGCAAUCCUCAGGGGCUGCCAAACGAAAAUUAUUGUUCUGAUAGCUCAAAGGGGAUGACUAGGGAUGAAAUGUUUUGAUCGAAAAGAAAGAUGGCCUGACUUUUGCCUCGUCUCUUGCAUGAUUUCCUAGAAGGAAUUUGCAUAAUCAAAUAAAGAAUUUCUUACACAUGUCUGAGUUGAUAGGUUGAGAGAAUGCCUGUCCAUCCAUGACUACCCCGCCUGGUAAUACCUUUUGAACACCCAAUGAGCUUUGCCAAUUAGAAGCAAAUUUGCCUUCAACUUCAUCUUUCAUCACUUUAGCACUUUGUUCCCUUCUUCAGAAGAUCGGCGGUGGACUCUUUUGUUAUGAAUCUCAGGCCAUGCGUUUUGACAAUAUUGGCCAUGGUACAUAGCAUUCAACUGUUUUCAUCAAUCAAAAUCAAUCGUUGAUGACACUGCUUUUAACCAAUCAGCUUUCAACCUGAUCGGAAAGGGAUUUUCUUAAAUGAAGAAAUUUCUCAAAUAAAGGGAUUUUUCAAGUAAAGGGAUUUUUCAAAUGAAAGGAUUUUUCAAAUGGAGGUAUUUUCCAAUGUAUGCCUUCCUCAAAGAAAGGAUUUCUCAAUGAGGGGGUUCUUAAUGAAGGGUUUUCUCAAUGAAGACUUUCUCAAAGAAGGGAUUUCUCAAUGAGGGGGUUCUUAAUGAAGGGUUUUCUCAAUGAAGGCUUUCUCAAAGAAGGGAUUUCUCAAUGAGGGGUUUUUUCAAAUGAAGGGAUUUUUCAAUGAAGGAAUUCUCAAUGAAGGGAUCAUCGGAUUCCAGAACAAUGAUAUUCAAAGGGUCAAAUAAUUUCAUCUUUGGCCAUCUCAAAGAAUAAUCAAAUAAACAAAUAAACAAAUUAUGCAUUUCAUGAAACUCCAAAUCAAAGCAGAAACAAGACAAAACUCAAUUGCAAAAGAUACUUUCGUUAAGCUAUUUACAUAUGCAAGAAAAACUUUUCGUGAAUUUUAGUAAAUGACAACCCCUAGAUUCAUCGAAAUUUCCUUCGAGAGGGAGGAUAAUCAGCCAUCCAAAUUGUGCAGAGCUCCUUCAGGAUUUUCAAAUCUCGUCAUUGGAGGUAGAUGCCUCAAAGGUGUCCUUGUGUCUGGGAAAGGGGUUUGUACUUAUACUUGGUCCUUGUUCUUCUCUCCCUCUCAAAAUUAUGUCUCCGGCCUCAAUCAUGUCUUGGAUUUUGUGUUUAAGUACCCGACAAUUGGUAGUAAAAUGUCCAGGAGCUCCGGAAUGAUAGGCACAAAAAGAUUGAGGAUUAUAAUAGGGGGAAAUCCUUUAGCAUAGGCUUUAGGAGGUAUUGUACCAAUUUUUCCUGCGGCCUUGAGCUGCUCAUAUAGUUGAUCCAAGGGCCGACCUAAAUUGGUAAAAGUUCUAUAUCGGGCCGGGUCUUGGGUGCCAGCGAUUUGUUGAUAGUUGUAAUUAUGGUUGACGGGUAAUGUGGGUCUUGGAUGAUAAGGAGAGCGAGGUCUAGUUUGAAAACUAUGUAGAGAAAUAUGAAAUGGUGUUGUAGGUGUGUUUGGGUAAUUUGGUCGAGGUCGAGGAUGAGGGGUAUUAAUGUGAUAAACAUAAUGAGGGUUUGAAUAGUAAGGGUAAGGGUUUGAGUAGGUAGGGUAUUGUCGAGGUCUGGGUAUUGAAACAGGGUUUCGAUUCCAGACAAAAGCAGUUUCCCCUUCUUUCUUUUGGAAUUGUUGCUUCUUCCUAUUACUACCUUGGCUUUGCAAAGCAUCCAACUGUGAUUUGAGGGCAGACACAUUAACAAUCUUUCCAACUUUCACGAAAUCAUCAAAUUCCUCAAGUUUAUUAACAAUUGCGGCAAAUGAGCAUCCAGUCAUGCUGAAAAUUUCUUCAAAGUACGGCGGAUCAUGUGCCUUAAUGAAAGCGCGUAUGAUUUCGUCCUCAGUCAUUGGUGGCUCGACUUUUGCAGCUAUUUUCCUCCAUCUCUUAGCAUAAGUCUUGUGAUCUUCAGAGGGUUUUCUUUUUGUUCCUUCCAGCGUGGUUCGUGUUGGAGCCAGCUCGCAAUUAUACUCGUACUGCUUUACAAAAGCGUUGGACAAGUCAAGCCAGGUCUUCGCUUCUUCGGAUUUCAGCUUGGAAUACCAGUCGAGUGCAUCCCCCUCCAGACUUUCUGGGAAUAGCCUCAAAGGCAGAUUUUCAUCAUCUGUUGGCCUACCCAACUUGUUGGCGAACAAUCGGAGGUGUUUCUUGGGAUUGCCCGUCCCAUCAUACUUGUUAAACUUCGGAGUUUUGAAUCCCUCAGGCAAUUGCACAUUCGGGAAAAGGCAAAACUCAUCGUAAUCCAAGACUCUUUGUUUGUUCAACCCCUGACUUUUCUUUAUAAACUCAUCGAAACGGUCCAAGCGUUUGAGAAGCUUUAUAUCAACGGGAGCGGAAGAUUCCCCAAUUUCUGGCUUGGUUUGAAUAGUAUGGUCUGGUAGGAAUGGCUCAGCAGUAGUGUGAUAAAAGGUAUGUGGCUCAAGUGAUAUGUUUAAAGUAACUUGGGGUUGUGGGCCUUGCAUGUGAGUAGGGAAAAAUGAAGGAUCAGGAGGGUAAGUGUAUGGCAAAUGUAUGGUGGGAUAUGUGAAAGUUCCUUCGGGUGGAAUAGGGAAAGAUGGAUUAUCAGUGACUUGAGUUGAAGGGAUGACAAAUGGCUCUGGCUCUGACUGCCUGUCAGGUACAGGUUCAGGUUGAACUCCGCUGCUGAUUAACUCAUCAAUCAACUUCCUUUGGGUUGCCAUUUCAGAUGCCAUUUCCCCAAAUUUGGCGAGUAAUUCAGUCAACUGAACCCCGGGACUUGUGGCUUCCGGCUGGGUAGUUGCAGGGGUCUUAUCAGACGAUCCUGGCCGAGUACUCAUGUCUACACGAUUCUUUUGGGCUUGACUACGGGAUCGCGUUAUGAUGGGGUUUCGACGAGAAGCUAUGUUUAAAUAUUAUCUGAGAAUUUUUGAAGAUUACCUUUAGAUUUAACCCUCGCUUAGUUAUAAUAAAAAUAAAGAAAAGAAAAGAAAAAGAAAAAGGCAAGAGUUAGUAGAUAUCCAGAAAAUUUGGAUGCAUGUCCUAUGGGGGAACCCUUUUUGUGCCAAGGGUAGGCCUAGCAUGAAAAUGCAAUCCUCCAGAGCAGGCACUAUACCAUACCUGAUGGAUCUGAUCAACUCAUUUAAGUGGAAAAUAAUUUUGAAAAAUUUGGUCAAUUGGAGUGACGAGAGACAUUUGUCAAAAUGAUGUCAACGUCCAAAUGGAUUGAUCACUUUUGAUCGAUAUAAGAGUUUGCAAAAACGCACGGGUUUGACCUUGACGAACUUCCUAUCAAAGAGAUUGGAAUUCGUUGAUCAAAAAUUUUUUUUUAGUGAAGCACGGGUCAAAACCCCAACUGGCUGGAUGCAAUGGAUGGUUUUCUAAAAAAUCGACUAAGUUUCCCAAUUUGAAAUUGACAUUGAAACCCUAAUUGGGCAAAUGGGUUGAAUGAAAUUGACAAUUUAUUUAAAAUCGACCGAAUUACCCUAAAAAGGGAAACGGGUCAAAUGAUUUGAGUGAAAUUUAAAAAUUUACUUAAAAUGACUGAAUCAUCCUAAAAAAGGAAUUUGAUCGAAUGAAAUUGAGAAUUUUAUGCAAAAUGGACCGGAUCGCCCUAAAAGGGUAAAUUGGUCAAAUGAAUCGGACGAAAUUGAUGAUUUAUCGAAAAUCGAUAAAAUUGCCCUAACUAAUCAAAUGAAUUGAAUGAAAUCGGUGAUUUAUUCAAAAAUCGACUAGAUUGCCCUAAAAUGGAUAAACUAGUAAAAUGAAUUCAAAAUCGACUAGGUUGCCCUAAAAAUGGGUGAAUUAGCCAAAUGAAAUGAAGAUUUAUUCAAAAAUCGACCGGAUGACCCUAAAAGGGGUAAAUUGGUCAAAUAAAUUGAUGAUUUAUUCAAAAAUCGACCGGAUGACCCUAAAAAGGGUAAAUUGGUCGAAUGAAUUGAAUGAAAUUGAUGAUUUAAAAAAUGACAGAACAGGUUGGAUGAAAUUGAUAAAUAACUUGAUCAAAUGAAUUGAAUGGAAUUGAUGGUUUAUUCAAAUAUGGGUUGAAUUGUCUACCCAUUGGUAGUUUCAAAAUUUUAUUGCGAUGCAUUAGCCUAUGAGCCUUCUAAAAUCAAAUUUUGGCCUCAAUUUAUUUAUCGUCUCAAUAGGAGGAAUCAUUUGUGAAUUUUCUUCAAAUUAAUGUCCUUUUACGCAAGGGAAUUUUACCAAUUUUGAUAAAAUGGCCAAAAAGUGAUUAUUAGACGCUCAUAUUCCAAAGAUCGCUCUUAUGAAGACGAUUGGAUCCUACCUUACCUUGUGCACUACCCCUUUGGAUGGUACAAAAUGUAAACGUGCAAGUCUCUUUGGAUUAAGUAUCCGAGACACAAGAUAGUUUAUUCCUGACAUGGGAUCUCCUAAAUGGCAUUCCCUUUCUAGGGUUAUGCAUGAUGCCAUUUAUUAAAGCGAUGUAAAUAUGCAAUUCGAAAUGAAACGUGACCUAAGGAACCCUUUAUUUGCUAGGGUAGGGCUAAAAUGGUAUGGCAUUAUUAAUUUAUGAACAAAAUAUACCACAAUUUUCAAAUGUGCAAUAGCCUAUCUACAAGGGUAGGUCCUAAAAGGAGGUCAUGCCAGACCUCUUAUUUCCUAAUGUUUGUGAAUGCAAAAGAUAAGAAACAAGGAAACGUUAGUUCAUAACACGUAAUCACAUAACACGUUGGACAAUAAAGCAACAAAGACAGACAAGGAAAAAAAGGGGUGGGACCCCUCCCCUCGUGAAUAGUGUUUCCUAAUUUAGGGUAAGGUCGACUCUACCCUAGGCAACUCUAAUAUGGAUGCAUGAGGUUGGGGUUCGCUAAUGCAUCUAGAUUCGACAAACUCAGGUCCCCAAGCCUUCAGACUUGGAAACCAAGGGUCAUCACUCCCAAGGUUCCUUGUCUGUGGCUCGAGCGAUUCCCCAGACAUUGCUACGCACACGUCGUGUCACGGCCACAUGUCUGAGUGAAUCUAUCAAAAUCCUCAAUCUUCGACUAAAAGCUAUAGGCUAUUAACCCAAAGCUUAAAGCGGAAGAUUAAGUGACCCCUUGGAUCGUGCUACGCACACGACGUGUCACGAUCACACGUCCAAGUAGGUCGCCUAAAAUCCUAAUAGGGUGGAGUGGCGUGACAAGCCACUAAAAGAAAAAUAAAUGGAGGGUGAAAAAUUAAAGCGUAUGCACGUAUGCUAGUGCUCGUUUGGAGGGGAGGGAUCAAGAACCAACGCGAGGCUCUAAGGUGAUGUCCCCCACCCAAAUGCAAUGCAAAGCGCGGAAUCACAUACAUAAACCAUUCAUCAAUCAAAACAAUCGUACGCCAAAUGAGUAAGUGAGGGAGUUGGUAUGCGUGAAAUGCAAAAAUCCGAAUAAAAGGAAAAAUGCAAUCCUAAACACCCAAAUGUGAUAUAUGAAAAGAUUAAAAGAAGAAAAAGGUUGAUUGAAUCAAAUUUGCUCGGACUCUCGAAUGUCCCCAGUGGAGUCGCCAACUGUCGCGCCCCAUUUUUUUGAUAAAUAAAUAAAUAGAUUAAAAAUGUGUAUUUUUUGAUUCAAUUUGUGAUUGGAAAAUGAAUUGUGAUUUAAAAGAAAAAUGGGUCUAAAUGGGGGUUGAGAAUGCGACGAUUUGACCCAAAAUUAUAGUUUAAAAAGGUGUUUUGAAACAAAAUACGGAGUCGCCACUUGAUAAUGAGUUAAGGUCUACCAAGUCACCUAAAAAAUGUAUUUUUAAAGAAAAAUAGGAAAAAGUAAUGAGAAAACCCUUUUUAAAUGACUCCUAGUCUACAUAAACCAAAGAAAAAGGUUCGGGAGUCACAUUUGACAAAGGGGAAGGCAAGGAUAAAAUCCAAGGCACCCCUUUGACCUAGCCAAGGCUAGUUGCAUGAUUUAAUCAAAGAUUUUCUUGUUUUAACCAAAGAAUUUAUUACAUUUGGAUGCACUACAUGAAUGCAAACCCUAGACCUAGGGGUAUUGGGAGAAAUUUCUCUUCAAAGGUUGAGUGGUACCAAUCACAUUAAUUGUGAAGCCCAAUAACGAUCCUUUGAAGAAG